AGAAAAAGCUGGGAAUGUGGCCCAGUGGUUGAGCACCCCUAAGUUCAAUCCCUCUCCAAACCAUGGAGAAAUCUAUUUUAUUGGCAACUAACUUCAGAACUGGUGAAUGUUGGCCAAAAAAAAAAAAAAAAAUGCAGCUAUUAUUUAGGCUACUAAAUUUAUCUAUGUGAUCAUCAGAAAAAAAAAAGAAGAGUAAAUGAAAUAAAUAAUGUCUGGACAGCUUUCCAUAUAGUGUCUUAAAAUUAGAAAACAGGGCUGGGGUUGUGGUUCAGUGGUAGAGCACUUGCCCAACAUGUGUGAAGUCCAGGGUUUGAUUCUCAGCACCACAUAUAAAUAAAUAAAAUAAAGAUACAUUGACAACUGAAUAAAUAUUUUAAAAAAUGAAAAGAAAAGAAACCAGUCUAUACAUGGUAUAGCUAUUGUAGGAUAUAUAGCUACCAGGCAUCUGAGAUUUCUUUGUGAUUUCCUAUUUAGGUUCCCACUUAAAAAAUGGGUUGGAUCUGUUCACAGCAUUGGUAACCUGGUUCAUCAAUAGAUAAGGCCACAUCAAUAGAGGUCUUUUGGAAACAUUCUGGCUGAAUUCUCCCAAGCCAUUGGAAAUGUCAGUGAAUAACUGUGUAGAUUGGUCAGAAGGACCUGCAGUAAUUGUUUAUUUUUCAUCCUUUAAGUAAUUUGACACUCAAUCUCUCCAAACCAUGGAGAAAUCUAUUUUAUUGGCAACUAACUUCAGAAAUGGUGGAUGUUGAAAAAAAAAUGCAGCCAUUAUUUAGGCUAAUGAAUUUAUCUAUGUGAUCAUCGUCUAAGUGAAUUAUAAACUUAGCUGUAUAAUUUGAAAGAAAUUAUGUGAUGCUAACAGUAUGUGGGAGCAGGAGGGGAAUAAGGACAGAGAACAGUAAAACAUUUGAAAUGGAAAAAGAAAAUCAAUUAACAGAAAGGGAAGAUGCAAUUGCAUUCUUAUUGGAUAUAUUUUAUCACCAUUUAAUCCUUGUCUUGUAGCUCUACUGAAAAACCAAGACUAUCAAAGUGAUCAUAAAAUGAUCCCAUUCUGCAUUAUUGUAGAUGAAAGAAUGAGCGUUCAUCUGGUGGCACUACCACCAGAUGGGCUAGAAUUUUAAUAUCAAGCUUGAUACUUACCAGCUGUGCAAGACUGGGCACAUACUUACCCAGUCUAAGCAGGAAUUUUAUCAUAUCUAAAAUUGGAAAAAUAGCCUUAUCCAAGAAAUUCAUUGUAAAGCUUUUCAAGUUUUGUUACAUAGCAAAAUAUAAGUGAUGGCAAGAACAUGGAGACUAAGGAACCAUUGUACACCAUUGGUGGGAAUGUAAAUUGGUACAGUCAUUAGUGAACACAGCAUGAAAGUUCCUCAAAAAAUUAAAAAUAGAACUACCACUUCUAGGCAAAUAUCCAAAAGAAAUGAAAUCAGGAUCUUGAAGAGAUAUCUUCACUACUAUCUUUACUGUAGCAAUCUUCAUAAUAGCCAAGAUAAGGAAACAAUUGAAAUGUUCAACAACAAAUGAAUGGAUAAAGAAAAUGUGCUAUGUAUUCACCAUGGAAUAUUAUUUAGACUUUAAAAAGAAGGAAAUCCUAGCUGGGCUCAGUAAGCACAUGCCAGUAAUCCUAGCUACUUAGGAGGCUGAUGCUGGAGGAUCCCAAGUUUGAGGGCAGCCUCAGCAACUUAGCAAGACCCUGUCUCAAAAUAAAACAUAAAACAGGCUGAGAUCACAAGUUCAAAGCUAGCCUCAGCAGCUUAUCGAGGCCCUAGGUAACUCAGUGAGACCCUAUCUCUAAAUAAAACACAAUAAAGGGCUGGAGAGAUGGUUCAGUGGUUAAGUGCCCUGAGUUCAAUCCGUGGUGCCAAAGUGGAGGGAAAAAAAGAGAAAAGAAGGAC
Molecule: long non-coding RNA, 1886 nt
Filed under: Marmota monax (woodchuck)
Lineage: Eukaryota; Metazoa; Chordata; Mammalia; Rodentia; Sciuridae
Source: RNAcentral